GGGGAGUAUGGUUGCAAAGCUGAAACUUAAAGGAAUUGAUGGAAGGGCACCCCCAGGAGUGGAGCCUACGGCUUAAUUUGACUCAACAGGGGAAACCUCACCCGGCCCAGACAUGGACAUGAUUGACAGAUUGAGAGCUCUUUCUCGAUUCCGUGGGUGGCGGUGCAUGGCCGUUCUUAGUUGGUGGAGCGAUUCUAUUCUAUUCUAUUCUAAAAUGAACAAGGUAUGUGUAGACAUAGUUAAUUUGAGAAGUGAAAUUUAAUUUGGUGGAAACAGCACAAGGACUGUAACUUUCUGCAAGUGCAAGUUUUUGAAAUGAAGCAACUAUUUCCUGUCAUUAUUUACAGAAAAUGUGUUGAAGGACUGCACAGCAACACUUAUAAUGUUAUUAGGACGGGGUUGUGUUUUGCAUUUUGUUUUAAACAGUAUUGAUGAUUUAAAGGAGAAAUUCCUUAAAAGAAUAAUUUUUCACAUCCCUUAAUGGUGAUAUUGACCGAUAGCAGAAAGCUGGUGGAAAAGCAGGUGGAAACUUUUUUAGCUAUAGCUUGCUGAGGAAUCCGUAGAUUGAAAAAUGAGUCCUUAAAAGGAACUUGGCAGUUUAUAGGUCAUCAGGAUGUGAUGGGACCACUUCUGUUCA
Molecule: non-coding RNA, 637 nt
Filed under: Dryobates pubescens (Downy woodpecker)
Lineage: Eukaryota; Metazoa; Chordata; Aves; Piciformes; Picidae
Description: Picoides pubescens (downy woodpecker) Eukaryotic small subunit ribosomal RNA
Rfam family: Eukaryotic small subunit ribosomal RNA (bases 1-499)
Source: Rfam by way of RNAcentral